CGUAAUUUUUGGAGCAUUAGGACCCUGGGGCAAACAGCAGACCCUAGUCAGGGCUGGCGAUUACCACUGACAAGUGCAGAAGUUAAUUUCAAUUGAUGAAUUCCACAAGAUGUGAAUGUGUUCACUGAUUAAAUGGACAGAUUCUUCAGGAUUCUAGAAGGUUCUUCAUCUUCAGUAGGACAAGAGCAACAGCAGCUGUUUGGCGGAGGUAGACAGAAAGGUGACUGGGGUUCCAAAGGAACCGUAUAUCGGACAAUGCUACCAUGCUGAGUGGAUCCUGAAAGCACCACAAAGGUCCCCCCAGCUGUGAUGAAACACAACCAGUCCUGCCCUUCUGGUGCCAACACCUCGUCAAGAUCCAACCAUGGACAGGAGCUGGGACAAGACACGUUGUGGGAGUGGGAGCUAGAGAGAGAGAAAGACAAACGCUGGAGAGCACAACGGAGAGCAAGAGAGACGAAGACGAAAAGUCGAGUGCGGUUGCCGCAGAGUGGACUCAAUAAAAACAUUAUUGUAACCAGAACACCGGGCUCUCGUGCCAGUGUGUGGUGGUCAGGGGAACCCACGGCAGAGCACUGCCACAAUUAUAUGGCAGACUUUGCAUACAGUUGCAUUUUCAAGAUGUAGAUGGCAG
Long non-coding RNA from Entelurus aequoreus (snake pipefish), 634 nucleotides. RefSeq lists it as uncharacterized. The transcript is spliced from 4 exons. Lineage: Eukaryota; Metazoa; Chordata; Actinopteri; Syngnathiformes; Syngnathidae. The record is from RefSeq and is a predicted model, not a curated record.